Molecule: microRNA precursor, 67 nt
Filed under: Bombyx mori (domestic silkworm)
Lineage: Eukaryota; Metazoa; Arthropoda; Insecta; Lepidoptera; Bombycidae
Description: mir-2774 microRNA precursor family
Rfam family: mir-2774 microRNA precursor family
Source: Rfam by way of RNAcentral
ACAACAUUCGAACCGUCGGCCUAAGGAGCAAUUUCACCCGCUCGGUGAAAGAUCUUCCCUUCGCCUU